This 233-nucleotide unclassified non-coding RNA is filed under the name plant metagenome. Its description in RNAcentral is "partial contains small subunit ribosomal RNA, internal transcribed spacer 1, and 5.8S ribosomal RNA". The record is from RNAcentral.
UUUCCGUAGGUGAACCUGCGGAAGGAUCAUUAUUGGAUUUUGAACCUUCAGGCUGCUGCUGGCUCUCCUCGGAGGGCAUGUGCACGCUUGUUGUCCAUUAUUUCUCCCACUGUGCACAAAUUGUAGACCUUUCAGUAGGCCUAUGUUGUUUUUCACAAUCUCUGAAUGUAAUAGAAUGGUUUUGAAUCUUGGGAAAUACGAUACAACUUUCAGCAACGGAUCUCUUGGCUCUC